Long non-coding RNA from Clupea harengus (Atlantic herring), 1705 nucleotides. RefSeq lists it as uncharacterized. Lineage: Eukaryota; Metazoa; Chordata; Actinopteri; Clupeiformes; Clupeidae. The record is from RefSeq and is a predicted model, not a curated record. The transcript is spliced from 4 exons.
ACUUAGUCGUCCGAGUGCCCUAUAUUUGUGCUUUUUAGCCAGCCAUUUGUUCCAUUCAAUAACUUUAAGGUGAUCAGAAAGCAAACUCUCUGUUUGAUUUCCGGUGAGCCUCCAAAUCUGCUCCUUGUAGCCUACCCUCAAUAUUGCAUUUGAUUUGUGGCCUUAACAGGUGCUUUUUAUGCAGCCAUUUUGAUGAGCUUCAAACUUCGUUUCUUUGCACUGAGCCUAGAAAUAAGAUCCUGCAGUUUCCUUUUUAAUCUAGUCAUUUAAUUUAAUCUAGUCAUCAUCCAAAAUGAUUGCAAAAUAUGUGAAACGAUGUGGGCUGUCAUUAUUAAAUUAGUAUUCCUACACACGCAUUUAAUCUGCCACACAAACCAAUCUAACCUCUUACUCUCAUUCAGAUCAGUAACGUAAGGAAGAAGGAAGUACAGUGAGGGUUUAUGGUACAGUCCCGCCAACUGUUGUCCUUCGGCCACAAAUGUCUCACCAGAAAACAAAAAUAACGUUAGUUAGCUGACGAGUAAUACAUUAAAAAGUUGUUAAGAAAAAAUGUCCAGUUUAUUUAGCUAAUAUUUCCAUCACAUGAAAAAAUUAAACACGUAACAUGAAUUACUUUGAUUUGAUACCCAUGAAUAGUUCCUACAGCGUUGAGCAGACGGGGACACAAAAUCAAGUGGCACUGAGUUUCACAACACGAGGGAGUCGGGACACAAAUACUGCACAAUGGAACGUGCUCAUACUCGGUCUUGUUCAACCUCAAAAGUAGCUGGCUCAAAACUUUCUAGACCAUCGGAAACAAUGAAGAGAAAUAUCCCUGUCAUUGAUGAAUCCGUUGCGGAGGACGUAGCGGAAAUUUCUUCCACCGCUAUGACCACAGUGGCCCCAAAUGCACAAAUAACUGCAAAAAGACUACGCCAUGAGCUGGAGAUGGCCAAACAAAAAGUGGCAGCAGGAGAUGCUCAAGGAAGUGACCAAGGAGAGAGACUUUCUAAGGGAACAACUGGCUAUGACAAUAAAUAGGACAAGGGCGUUCCAUCAGAGGACAGCACAAGUCCCUUACAGCAAACCACUUCCGCCGCUUCAGCUACUUUCUCUUCUGAUUCCUCCGACUCGUCAUCCAACUCUUCAUAUGACUCUUCCUCCACGGAUGAGGGACGGAAGAAGAAAAAGAAGAACAGCAAAACAGUAAAGAGACGGAAGCAGGGGAAACGGGGAAAGAAAAGAAAGGAGCAAAGUGUUUACCAGAGAGCUCGAGAUCCUGAAGUGGUGGCCCGAUACCGAAAGGUGUUGAAAAUCUGCCAGGAGGGAAGGACCAUGGGGGCUGCUUUCAGAGCUGUGGGUGUUGACCGCAACACUAUUGUCGUGAAUGCCCCAAUGGCAGAACUUUGCAUUGCUGCCCCAGAAACAUUUGCAGAGCUCAGAGAGAGGUGCUCCAAGAAGGAGAAGCUCAGUUGUUUUACACAAAGGUGUAAAGAUGCCAUUGAGGGUGAUGACAGCAUUAUUACAAAAAUUAAAGCGUUCAAAGAGUCUGGCAAACUUCUGCCAAUAAAUAAAGGCAAGUGACUGGCGGAUCACCUUAGUUGUAUUUGCAUUGUUGCAUUUUUGUUGUUGUUCUUGUUGUAUUUAGCAGAUUAGAACGCAUGGUUAAAUGUGCAUUUAUUGUUAGUGUAGUUUUUUCAAAUAAAUGUUUUCCAAUUUCACUUUA